AUUGAACGCUGGCGGAAUGCUUUACACAUGCAAGUCGAACGGCAGCACGGACUUCGGUCUGGUGGCGAGUGGCGAACGGCUGAGUAAUGUAUCGGCACGUGCCCAGUCGUGGGGGAUAACGUGGUGAAAAUUACGCUAAUACCGCAUACGAUCUAUGGAUGAAAGCGGGGGAUCGCAAGACCUCGCGCGAUUGGAGCGGCCUAUAUCAGAUUAGGUAGUUGGUGGGGUAAGGGCGCACCAAGCCAACGAUCUUUAGCUGGUCUGAGAGGACGACCAGCCACACUGGAACUGAGACACGGUCCAGACUCCUACGGGAGGCAGCAGUGGGGAAUUUUGGACAAUGGGCGAAAGCCUGAUCCAGCCAUUCCGCGUGCAGGAUGAAGGCCCUCGGGUUGUAAACUGCUUUUGUACAGAACGAAAAGGUUUCUACUAAUACUAGGAGCUCAUGACGGUACUGUAAGAAUAAGCACCGGCUAACUACGUGCCAGCCGCCGCCGUAA
Molecule: ribosomal RNA, 500 nt
Filed under: uncultured bacterium
Lineage: Bacteria
Description: partial 16S ribosomal RNA
Rfam family: Bacterial small subunit ribosomal RNA
Source: RNAcentral